Oncorhynchus mykiss (rainbow trout) is the source of this 3210-nucleotide non-coding RNA. NCBI's taxonomy places the organism in Eukaryota, Metazoa, Chordata, Actinopteri, Salmoniformes, Salmonidae. The record is from RefSeq and is a predicted model, not a curated record.
CACUAACAUAGCCUAGAUUACAGCGGGUGUCACUCCUGAACACUAACAUUCGCACACACACACACACACAGUGACUGCCUGUCCUUAAUCUAUUAUGGUCAGUCCAGCGCAGAGGGAGCACAGUAAAGUACAAGCAGCCCGCAGCGAGCAGAGCCAAAAUAAAAAGCCAAAUACCUCUAAAACGGUGAGGGGUUUUAACAGGCACAAAGGCACGCACGGCCGGGUGCAGCAGCAAUGCCAGGAUUUAUAGAACGCUGGGGCAGUAAACGGGACUCGGAAGCAUCAGCGGAGCCUUCCGGAACGGGUGUUUUUACAAACUGUAACUAUUGGAAACAAAUGCUGUGUUAAAGAGGUUGAAAAGAAACAUGAUCCACAGAGUCUCCACCCCCCAACACAGCUGGUUUCACUUCCUGGGGGAGACUUUACUCACGCCACCCCCACUUCCUGUUGAUCAGUCAGGAGAGAGGCUGUAAAUCUUCGAUGAGGACAUCAUUGAUGUUUGGGAUGUGGUUUUCUGUUUGGCUUUUGAUGGAGGUAACUUCAGCAAUACGGAUUGAAUCAAGCCCCUUACUGUAAUAGGCUUUUUGACAAAUCAGGAUAAAAUGGUCUGGUGGGUCCUGUGGCGAUGGUUAUUACCAUCAGGCAGUUUUACAGCCUUCUAAGCCUCACAUAUUUCAGCCUGUACGCCAGACUUCCUAAAGGAUCUCCUUCACUGUCACAUGUGUCUGGGUCUAGUAAAAUAAGCACUCAGCUCGUAAACCGGCCAAUGAGCAGACCCCAAAUAGCCACUUCUGCCAGCCUGACUGACAGAAGCCCUAAAGAGACGUGUUCAAAGAUGGAGGGAAGCUAGUCACAUGGAGAUUGAGGAGGCAGUCAAUCAAAGAGAAUGGCUACAUCUACCAGAAACAUUGACUGCAAUGUGCUUCUGUUGUCUUCUUGUCCUCCUCUGAGGAAACAACAGCUUUUUGUUGUUGUUGUCAGCCUCAUGUUGAAGUUUAUUUUCUCUGACUAUAUUUCUAAAAGGCACAACAAACCUGCUGCGUUCUCCGACUACCUACUUUCCUACUUUAGUACCCCAUCUCCCAGCGUGUGUGUGUGUGUGCGCGUGUGUGUGUGUGUGUGUGUGUGCGCGCACACCCUGUCUCCUGCGGUCUGCGUGCUGUAACGCUGUUCUGGUCUCCAGUAAAUCCAAACCACUACCAGGUGUACACACAGAGCCUAGGCUGAGCUGAGCAUACGGCCACAGCUGCUCUGUCUGUGUGUAGUUCUGUGUUUGUGUAUGCAUGUGUGAGUAGAAUGAAGUUGUCAUUAGCCGCUGAUCUAAAGUCAGAUUUUUACAUUUUUCACCCUGAUGCUAAAAAAACGUAAGCUGAUCCUAGAUCUGUACUUAAGGGGCAACCCGUAGUGAUUUAUAGAGCUGCCACCGCAUCAUAGACAUUCUUGUGUAGAGCCGUGCCCCGGUACAGCGGACCAGAGCUCUGUGUGCCAAACGACGCUACGUUCCCAGCUUCCUCUAUUCCCACGCUUUCCUCUGUACUGCCAACUGGGAACAUACAUACCUCCCCGUUCACAUCAUUAUGAGAAUAAUAGUCCAACUCUCUCUCUCUCUCAUGAUUUCUUGAUGUGCAGUAGGCCUACUUAAUGUAAAACGUGUGGUGUACUGUUACUAUAUGUUAGUUAAAGAAAGUAUACUCUCGUUACAUUGUCCGUCCAUCAUUUGGGUUAGCCAGUCGGGUUAACAACUGUUAUGAGAAUAUAAGAUGGUGAAUACAGUAGGUAAGAGGUACGAGGUAGGGAGUUCUACUCUCCUGUCCUUGACCGUUAUCAGAGCUGAAGGGAUAUCAAAGCACACAUUCUUCAGCAGAGAGACUGAAAACACUUUGAGACACUUUGAAACACUCCUGUCCAAAAGGCUCAGAGCAAGCUAUACCUCCAGGUGUUUGUGUCUGACAGGAGGGGAGAGCGCAGGGCAGCAGGACACUCUGUUUUCCAGAUAACACCUUGUUUACCAGAGUAAAUGGCAGUCAGAGGGGGGUAGAGACUAGAGAGCCUGGUUGAGACACACGACACAGCUGACCGUCAGAGGGGGGUAGAGACUAGAGAGCCUGGUUGAGACACACGACACAGCUGACAGUCAGAGGGGGGUAGAGACUAGAGAGCCUGGUUGAGACACACGACACAGCUAACAGUCAGAGGGGGGUAGAGACUAGAGAGCCUGGUUAAGACACACGAUACAGCUAACAGUCAGAGGGGGGUAGAGACUAGAGAGCCUGGUUGAGACACAGACACAGCUAACAGUCAGAGAGGGGUAGAGACUUGAGAGCCUGGUUGAGACACACGACACAGCUAACAGUCAGAGGGGGCUAGAGACUACAGAGCCUGGUUGAGACACACGACACAGCUAACAGUCAGAGAGGGGUAGAGACUAGAGAGCCUGUUUGAGACACACGACACAGCUGACAGUCAGAGGGGUGUAGAGACUACAGAGCCUGGUUGAGACACACGACACAGCUGACAGUCAGAGAGGGGUAGAGACUAGAGAGCCUGGUUGAGAGACACGACACAGCUGACAGUCAGAGAGGGGUAGAGACUAGAGAGCCUGGUUGAGACACAUGACACAGCUAACAGUCAGAGAGGGGUAGAGACUAGAGAGCCUGGUUGAGACACACAACACAGCUAGCAGAGACAGAUCUGUACCUGGUCACAUUAUAAUGCCAUAACAGGUGAUACACAACUGCUAGUGUGGUGUGUGUGUGUGUGUGUGUGUGUGUGUGUGUGUGUGUGUGUGUGUGUGUGUGUGUGUGUGUGUGUGUGUGUGUGUGUGAGAGACAGAGAGAUGUUUGCUGCUGAAAGGUUUCACUUAUCAGCAACGUCAACCUAUACUUCAUGGAAAACCUUCUAGUUUGAAGUUAAGACAAGGGCAACGUGAAAGACAGAGUCUGGGGCACUAUGGCUGCGUUUCGACAGGCAGCCCAAAUUUUUUUUUUUUCAUUAAUUGGUCUUUUGACCAAUCAGGUCAAAUGAUCUGAUUGUCUGAACAGCCAAUGUCUACUCAACGUUGUGUAUGAUGUAGUUUACAUGAAGACAGUUGUGAGAAGUUGUUUUGACACAACAUAAUUAAUAUGCAAUGUUAACUUUUACAUUUUACUGCACAUUUUUAAUGUUUUGUUCUAUGCUGAGGAAAAUGUGCUGUGUGAAAUUAGUAUAAUA